AUACAGCUGAUGAGUCCCAAAUAGGACGAAACGUGCGUCCUGGAU
Schistosoma mansoni is the source of this 45-nucleotide non-coding RNA. NCBI's taxonomy places the organism in Eukaryota, Metazoa, Platyhelminthes, Trematoda, Strigeidida, Schistosomatidae. The record is from Rfam.